AGAUCAGCCCUGGGGUUCAGAGGGAUCCUGACGGCUACUCCUCAAGAUCCUCUCUGUUGUGAUUCAUCCCCCCCGGGCCCUACAGUUUCUCCUUCCUGACUCUUACAUUUCUUUGGAUGGCAUCAUUAUUUACCUGUCUCCUCCCAUAGUUAGGUGCCAAGCACUGUGGAUUCUGCCCCUCAGUGUCCAGACACCCAUUUUCCUUCCCACUGUUCCUUCCCCAUGGAGAAGCCUGUGGCUGGCUGACAGCAGAGAGAGAUGCUCAACUUGGAGAAGGUGUUACCUGGGCCAGGUGGGGAAGGUUUGUUUGCAGAGCAAAGAAGUGAAGCCCUCCAUUCUAGUAUUCAAGACCUUUUGCAACUCAGAAUGAGUGCAUCUGAAAUUCUCAGAAUUGGGAAAAACAUAGCAGAUUUGAAUUGGCAUAUAAUAGGAUUUGCCAUAAGGAACUAUCAGUGUUAGGGAGGAAUUUCUGCAUAGUUGACCCUUGAACAACAUGGAUUUUAACUGCACGGAUGCACUUAUACGUGGCUUUUCUUCCACCUCUGCUAACCCUGAGACAGCGGAACCAACCCCUCCUCUUCUUCCUCCCCCUCAGCCUAUUCAACGUGAAAAAGAUGAGGAUGAAGACCUUUAUUAUGAUCCACUUCCAAGUAAUGAACACACUGGAGAAAGUCAGACAGUCAAAACAAUGUCCCAGACUCCGUGAAGUUCCUGGGUAGAGAAGGAGACAGACAUAUACCAUACCUAAUAAUUGGAUGUCCGAGAGAAUGAGAGA
Molecule: non-coding RNA, 775 nt
Filed under: Pan troglodytes (chimpanzee)
Lineage: Eukaryota; Metazoa; Chordata; Mammalia; Primates; Hominidae
Source: RNAcentral